RNAcentral lists this signal recognition particle RNA (298 nucleotides) under Saimiri boliviensis boliviensis (Bolivian squirrel monkey). RNAcentral's name for it is "Metazoan signal recognition particle RNA (ENSSBOG00000007677.1)". It matches the Rfam family "Metazoan signal recognition particle RNA". Rfam says of the family: The signal recognition particle (SRP) is a universally conserved ribonucleoprotein. It is involved in the co-translational targeting of proteins to membranes. Lineage: Eukaryota; Metazoa; Chordata; Mammalia; Primates; Cebidae. The record is from RNAcentral.
ACCGGUGCUUUGGCGAGUGCCUGUAGUCCCAGCUACUCGGGGAGCUGAGGUGGGAGGCUUGCUUGAGCCCAAGAGUUCUGGGCUGUAGUGCGCUAUGCUAAUCGGGUGUCUGCACUAAGUUUGGCAUCAAUAUGGUGACCUCCCGGGAGCAGGGGACCACCAGGUUGCCUAAGGAGGGGUGAACCGGCCCAGGUCGGAAACAAAGCAGAUCAAAACUCUGGUGCUGAUCAGUAGUGGGAUCACUCCUGUGAAUAGCCACUGCACUCCAGUCUGGGCAACAUAGCAACACCCCAUCUCA